AGCGAACGCUGGCGGCAGGCCUAACACAUGCAAGUCGAACGGAUCCUUCGGGAUUAGUGGCGGACGGGUGAGUAACACGUGGGAACGUGCCCUUUGGUUCGGAACAACUCAGGGAAACUUGAGCUAAUACCGGAUGUGCCCUUCGGGGGAAAGAUUUAUCGCCAUUGGAGCGGCCCGCGUCUGAUUAGCUAGUUGGUGGGGGAAAGGCCCACCAAGGCGCAGAUGAGUAGCUGGUCUGAGAGGAUGAUCAGCCACAUUGGGACUGAGACACGGCCCAAACUCCUACGGGAGGCAGCGGUGGGGAAUCUUGCGCAAUGGGCGAAAGCCUGACGCAGCCAUGCCGCGUGAAUGAUGAAGGUCUUAGGAUUGUAAAAUUCUUUCACCGGGGACGAUAAUGACGGUACCCGGAGAAGAAGCCCCGGCUAACUUCGUGCCAGCCGCCGCCGUAA
RNAcentral lists this ribosomal RNA (449 nucleotides) under uncultured bacterium. Its description in RNAcentral is "partial 16S ribosomal RNA". It matches the Rfam family "Bacterial small subunit ribosomal RNA", at positions 29 to 523 of the family's 1533-position model. The record is from RNAcentral.